CCAAUAGCGUAUAUUCAAGUUGUUGCAGUUAAAAAGCUCGUAGUUGAAUUUCGGGGUCAGUAGGUUGGUCAUGCCACUGGUAUGUACUGGUCUCACUGAUUCCUCCUUCCUGAUGAACUGUAAUGCCAUUAAUUUGGUGUUGCAGGGAAUCUGGACUGUUACUUUGAAAAAAUUAGAGUGUUUAAAGCAGGCUAACGCCUGAAUACAUUAGCAUGGAAUAAUGAAAUAGGACGUUCGAUCCUAUUUUGUUGGUUUCUAGGAUUGACGUAAUGAUUAAUAGGGAUAGUUGGGGGCAUUAGUAUUCAAUUGUCAGAGGUGAAAUUCUUGGAUUUAUUGAAGACUAACUACUGCGAAAGCAUUUGCCAAGGAUGUUUUCAUUAAUCAAGAACGAAAGUUAGGGGAUCGAAGACGAUCAGAUACCGUCGUAGUCUUAACCAUAAACUAUGCCGACUAGGGAUCGGAUGAUGUUAAUUUUUUAAUGACUCAUUCGGCGCCUUACG
Molecule: ribosomal RNA, 500 nt
Filed under: uncultured Glomeromycotina
Lineage: Eukaryota; Fungi; Glomeromycota
Description: partial small subunit ribosomal RNA
Rfam family: Eukaryotic small subunit ribosomal RNA
Source: RNAcentral